GGAUGCGAUCAUACCAGCACUAAAGCAUCGGAUCCCAUCAGAACUCCGAAGUUAAGCGUGCUUAGGCGAGAGUAGUACUAGGAUGGGUGACCUCCUGGGAAGUCCUCGUGUUGCAUUCC
Molecule: ribosomal RNA, 119 nt
Filed under: Triticum aestivum (bread wheat)
Lineage: Eukaryota; Viridiplantae; Streptophyta; Magnoliopsida; Poales; Poaceae
Also listed under: 1 other name
Source: RNAcentral